AGAACAUGGUCUGUGCCUUCCAGCAGCUCACACUGUGGGGAGUAGACCAGAGAUAAAUUAAAUGAGAGUGUAUUGGAAUAAGUCAAAAACACCUAGCAGCUGAGCUACAAAAUGACAAAGGGGACCUAAUAUAGAAUGGGUAGCCAGAAAACCUUCUCCAAGUAGGUAACAUGUUGACUGAGGCAUAAAUGAUGGGAAGGAAGCCAGGCAUGAUGGCCUGUAAUCCCAGCACUUUGGGAGGCCAAGCGGGGAGAAUUGCUUUAGUCCAGGAGUUCAGGACGUGGGCAACAUAGCGAGACCUCAUAUCUAUAGGAAAAAAAAAAUUAGCCAGGCAUGGUGGCUCACGCU
RNAcentral lists this long non-coding RNA (348 nucleotides) under Homo sapiens (human). RNAcentral describes it as "HSALNT0261419". The record is from RNAcentral. Lineage: Eukaryota; Metazoa; Chordata; Mammalia; Primates; Hominidae.